GUGCUCGCUUCAGCAGCACAUAUACUAAAAUUGGAAUGAGAGAAUAUUAGCAUGGCCUCUGCACAAGGAUGACAUGCAAAUUUGUGAAGUGUUCCCAAAAAAU
Small nuclear RNA from Gracilinanus agilis (Agile Gracile Mouse Opossum), 103 nucleotides. The record is from RefSeq and is a predicted model, not a curated record. Lineage: Eukaryota; Metazoa; Chordata; Mammalia; Didelphimorphia; Didelphidae.